RNAcentral lists this ribosomal RNA (253 nucleotides) under uncultured bacterium. RNAcentral's name for it is "partial 16S ribosomal RNA". It matches the Rfam family "Bacterial small subunit ribosomal RNA", at positions 524 to 776 of the family's 1533-position model. The record is from RNAcentral.
UACAGAGGUCCCGAGCGUUGUUCGGAUUCACUGGGCGUAAAGGGUGCGUAGGUGGUGGGGUAAGUCUGAUGUGAAAUCUCCAGGCUCAACCUGGAAAUGGCAUUGGAAACUACCCUGCUGGAGGGUUGGAGGGGGGACUGGAAUACUUGGUGUAGCAGUGAAAUGCGUAGAUAUCAAGUGGAACACCAGUGGCGAAGGCGAGUCCCUGGACAACACCUGACACUGAGGCACGAAAGCCAGGGGAGCAAACAGG